Molecule: long non-coding RNA, 729 nt
Filed under: Homo sapiens (human)
Lineage: Eukaryota; Metazoa; Chordata; Mammalia; Primates; Hominidae
Description: non-protein coding lnc-C16orf46-1:4
Source: RNAcentral
ACUUCCGCCGCGGUCCCGCCCCCAGCGUGGUCGUAACCCAAGGCAACGGCCCAUCCGGCAGCGACCUGAGUAGCUCUUGCCAGUAGGCCGGGACUAGCUGUCUCGGGGCCUUCCAUCCGCUUGGCCCCACAGCACAGGAAAAAGAAGAUAAAGUAGGAGAGGGAUCAGUUUCACAUUCAGUCCUAAGCAGCAACACGGUUGAGAUGUAAUCAUAAAAGCAAAUAUUUCACCCAGGACAUGGAAAAGCGGCGGAUCACCAGAAAGCAGAGAGUCAAACGCUGCAAGCAGAAGCAGUAAGAAGACGCCACGUUUGGAGCAAGGUCUUAUUUACACCUGCCAUGGUCAUCGGCUCGCUCUUUUAGGUCUCCCCAACCCGGCCCCCAAAAAGAGGUUAUAUGCAGAGGUAAUAUAAUAUAUGUACUUUUGAAAAUAACAAAGUCACCGUGGAGAUAAUUUCAAAACAAUUUAUUUUCAUUUUCAGAUACAUUGGACUAUUUCACUGAUGUUAAAAAGAGUAUGACUUGUUUAAAUUUUUUGUUGUUUCUUUUUUGCAGCCUAAUGUUCUGUAAUAGUAACUUGCUUCCAAGUAAAGUAUGAAAAGUUAGUGGAGGGGCCAUGGCUGUGGUCUCUGAUAGGUCAAACUAUACUAUUUUGGAAUGCGUGGAGUUAGAACAAAGUUUUUAUUUUGUUAUUAAUUAGUAAAGCAAUAAAUAAAAUUGUCUUACUAAU